CAACAAACAUGUGCCAAAACAACAAAAGCAACAAAAUAUAAAAAAGCGAAAAAAAAAAAGAAAAAAAACCCAAACAGUCUAUACAAUAUAACAAUUAUAGUAAAUCAAAGAUUACGCAACAUGUACCCCUGGAAAACUGGUGUAUAUUACAAGAUAAAACGGUUUAUAGUCAUUGUCUGAAAAAAACAGAUUAUUCUCACAC
This 202-nucleotide long non-coding RNA is filed under the name Mytilus galloprovincialis (Mediterranean mussel). Lineage: Eukaryota; Metazoa; Mollusca; Bivalvia; Mytilida; Mytilidae. The record is from RNAcentral.